CAUGUAUUGAGACGUAACUGGAGGUGUUAGAGAUGAAAAUCAGUUGAUCCAGGAGAUAGAACAGCGGCCCAUAUCCGUGCUUCAUGGAACACCCGAUAGAUCAGCUUACCAAACACGCGUGGCCCACAAAAAGAUAUUCGUUUCCGCCCAGCGCGAUAUCCACGGGAUCACAGGAAGAACAGCUGCGGAGAAGGGAGGAUUCCGAGAGAAAGAAACACGUGGUGCGGUUCUCCGAGUGAAGAGGGGACAUUUGGACGCGGGAUGCGUGGCUUCUUCUCUGUUGGCCGGCAAAUGUAAUUGCUAAGUGGAUCGCCAUGUGAAUUUUGACCGCAUUAAUUUUAGUGCCAAUGCCACUUUCAGACCUGCAACUCUCUUAAUCGGUUCAUCGAUAUUGUCUUCACACUCCUCGCAAGUAAAACUGGUUGCUGUUAGGUAGGAAAUACGUAUGCUCUAUUUCCAGAAGCGUUGAAAAUACUGUUUGUAAAUAAUUAGUCAAGUAUCAAAGGGAUUUACCGUGAACUGGAAUCUCUAUUCAUAGUAAUUAGCGAUUUUGAUAGUUGGCAAUCCAUUAUAUUUCAUUUUUAACGCUAUUAAAGGCUUCAUUUGUAAUAAUUAAAUAACUUAGUUAGGGAUAUUUAUUAUAAUAUUUAAUAGGUAACAUAAAUCUCUAUUUAGAUUCCGUCUCUUCACGUACAUUUGUGAAAAUACAAAAUUAUAUAUAUAUUGAUAUAGAUCUACUAUAUUUAAUUUUUAACACAAUGAAUUUGAAAAUAAAAUUUUAAAGGAAGUAGAGUAGGAAAAGCAUUUAGAUAUUGGUUAAUGUCUGAUCAGAGGACACAUUUCCAUUGAAAAUGUAUCAACGUUUUGAAGUUGUUCAGAACCUACCUAAAAGGGGAGAAAAAAGCGUAGAUGCACGGCGGAAAAGUAAGAUAAACAGAAGCAUGUGGAAGAGAGAAAGCAACGGGGAUUGGGAAAGGGUCAGGGGGCAGCGUCCUGAGGUGAGGGAGCAGAGCCGGGUCAGAGGAAAAUUUGCAUUUCCUGUUCACGAUGAAUAAUGCCGCAUGGAAAACCGUAGUUGGUCAGUCGUCGAAUUAAUUCAAUAAUCCUCGAAAUUUCAAUGAAAAGGCUAUUCGUUUCGAAAGCCAUGGAAAAGAAAUCGUGUUCGUGGUCGUCGGAAAGAAUUUCACCGGCUAUUCAUUUAUGUAACACCUUUAUUGCACUCAUAGUAUUUUUUAUAUUCUUCUUAUUCACUAUAUUCUUCAUGUACUUAUCUCUCUUUCUUCUUUAAGGAUAUAAAAUAAUUUCUGGAAGCCAAGGACUAUCAUAAAUUCAUACCGAAUGGAAUUCUUUUUCUGAAACGAGAUGUAGAAAAGGAUGUGACCUUGUAACUAGUAUUCUAAAGCUAUUUCAUGGGGUUGCUUCAAAUGGAUGAGGAGGAGGAAGUGGGAGAUGGAAUGUUUAUGAGAACAGCUGUUCCUGUCCUCGGGGUUGUUGACCAUCCAUACACCUACUUUCGUAGAAGCCUUUUUAUUAGUAGGUGGAUCUUCAGGUACACAGAAGCAACACGGGUCCAUUAACUUCGGGGAGUUUUUCUUCCUUUAUCUUGAAGCUGUCUGUUCUUUGUGACUCGAGGUAAUCCUAAACAGAAUCUUCGUCUAGGAUGAAUUUAUCAGUGGAUAAAGGGAUUAGGCUUUGUUUGAAGAAAUUUUUAAAUAAUAAUAAUUUUAAUAAAAAUAUUGAAAUUGAAGACUACGCGAAAAAAGAUUACAAGCUUAUUUUUCUUAAUUUUUUCAAUUUUAUAGUAUUUGAUGGAUAAAGAAAACUAUCUUAAUAUAAAAGUUAAAAUAGGAAAUUUGAUAAAAACAAGAGGAUGGAAUAUAAGAAAAGAAAGACAUUUAAUUGUAUAAGAGGCAAUUUAUAUAUCUGUAAUAACUUAUAUAAUCCACUUUGUUAAUACUUUGUUAUACAACUAAACAGAGCCAUCUGUUAAUAAGCAGCUUAGAAUCAAUCUUAACAAACAUUUUGUAACAAACAUUCUAUCUCUUAUGAUCAUUGAAAGAAAUGAUUCUCUGAGAAUAUAGAUCAAUUGA
Molecule: long non-coding RNA, 2090 nt
Organism: Bombus impatiens (common eastern bumble bee)
Lineage: Eukaryota; Metazoa; Arthropoda; Insecta; Hymenoptera; Apidae
Exons: 2
Source: RefSeq, a predicted model, not a curated record